This 1611-nucleotide unclassified non-coding RNA is filed under the name Lingula anatina. RNAcentral describes it as "scavenger receptor cysteine-rich type 1 protein M130, transcript variant X2". Lineage: Eukaryota; Metazoa; Brachiopoda; Lingulata; Lingulida; Lingulidae. The record is from RNAcentral.
GACCGGAGUAAGAUUUACCUGGCUGAGGUGAAGAUGAGGCGACUGAACACAAUUUCCCUUAUUAUAUUGGUCAUUACAUGGAUUCCAGGGGGCAUUCAAGGUCAAACCGAUGGAGACGUUCGCCUUCAAGAUGGAGACACACAAUACCAAGGCCGUGUAGAGAUAUACCAUAAUGGAGAGUGGCGGAGGGUGUGUGAGGAGGGGUGGGGACUUGACGACGCCAAAGUUGUUUGCGGGCAAUUAGGCUUCGAAGACGCCCACGCUGGACAUGUCAACCAUAAUCCGAGAGGAACAGGGGCAUUUUUGGCUGUCCGAUGUGCACUGCGCUGGCACGGAAGACGCUUUGAACAACUGCACGUCUGGAGGUUGGGGCAACAUCAACUCUGGAUGUGGAAUCAAUGACUACGACGACGCUGGGGUCAUCUGCAAAGCACCGGGCGAUGGGGACUUGCGUCUAGUUAACACGUCAAAUGCGUACGAAGGUAGCUUGGAAAUACAAUAUGGUGGAAGAUGGGGGAGGGUUUGUGGCUACGGGUGGGAUCUUACGAGUGCCAACGUAGCGUGCAAGCAGCUUGGUUUUACCGGAGCCCAUACACCGAUAUCAAAUAUGUCAACGCGGGGGUCAGGGCGAUACUGGAUUCAGAAUUUGAAUUGCCAGGGAUCCGAGGCGUCCCUGUCAGAUUGCUACCAUGACGGCGUUGGAGAAAUAAACCCACAGUAUUGUGACGAGACCUCAUUACAUGACGCCGGCGUUCUGUGUAAAGGGCCCAAUGACGGAGAUGUCAGAUUGGUCGGUCCCUCCCAAUAUAUGGGCCGAGUUGAGAUCUUCUACGCAGGAAUCUGGGGGAGAGUGUGUACUAACGGGUGGUCGCUGAGUGACGCCGUAGUAACCUGCAGACAGCUUGGUUUCAGUGGGAUAGUCGGAUCCCUCACAAGUUGGACACCGAGGGGGACUUCGAGGGUGUUUUUAGACCAAUUUAACUGCGCCGGUACAGAGAGUCGGUUGGAUGCCUGUUCUCAUGGGUCAAUAGGGUACCCAAGUACUACGUACUGCUCAGAAACAUCCAAUGUGGAUGCCUCUGUCCUCUGUAAAGCGCCUGACGAUGGUCAACUUCGUCUGGUGGACGGUAACGGCUACAACAGCGGCCGUGUGGAGAUCAAGUUUGCCGGAGUAUGGAGGCGUGUUUGUGACAGUGGAUGGGGAACCGACGACGCCGCGGUUGUUUGUCGUCAGUUGGGGUACACCAAUCAUGAAAGAGCCGCAACGGAGUGGACCCAGAUGUGCAUCUUGCUCUAACACUUUGGCCUGUAGAGAAGCACAAAACACUUUGCAAUUGUACACCUCUUUCAUCACAUGUCCUGGUGGAUCGGUGUGCUACACUACAGCUUCGGCAUACAGCUUUUUUAGUCACUUCUACAGUUCCUCCAUCACUGCUUACAGAUACAGCCGCGGGUGCAUAAGAAAGUCACAAUGUACCAGCCAGGAGCUGCAGGGAAAUACUUGCACGGGAAGCGGCGACGGUAAAGCCUGCAAGCAUUGCUGUAGUACCAAUUACUGUAAUAGUGGAGUCUUGGACACGUCCCAAGCUAGCGUCAACAACAACAACAACA